GCCCAGAUGGUGGAAUUGGUAGACACGACGGUCUUAGAAGCCGUUGCCAUGCGGUGUGAGGGUUCAAGUCCCUCUUUGGGCACCA
RNAcentral lists this transfer RNA (85 nucleotides) under Candidatus Gracilibacteria bacterium GN02-873. RNAcentral describes it as "tRNA-Leu". It matches the Rfam family "tRNA". Rfam says of the family: Transfer RNA (tRNA) molecules are approximately 80 nucleotides in length. The record is from RNAcentral. RNAcentral also lists the same sequence under 2 other names. Lineage: Bacteria; Candidatus Altimarinota.